AAGACCUUGCGCUUUUGGAGCGGCCGAUGCCUGAUUAGCUUGUUGGUAAGGUAAAAGCUUACCAAGGCUUCGAUCAGUAGCUGGUCUGAGAGGACGGCCAGCCACACUGGGACUGAGACACGGCCCAGACUCCUACGGGAGGCAGCAGUGGGGAAUUUUGGACAAUGGGGGCAACCCUGAUCCAGCCAUGCCGCGUGAGUGAAGAAGGCCUUCGGGUUGUAAAGCUCUUUCAGCCGGAACGAAACGGUUACGGUUAAUACCCGUGACUACCGACGGUACCGGAAGAAGAAGCACCGGCUAACUACGUGCCAGCAGCCGCGGUAAUACGUAGGGUGCGAGCGUUAAUCGGAAUUACUGGGCGUAAAGCGUGCGCAGGUGGUUUUGUAAGUCAGAUGUGAAAGCCCCGGGCUCAACCUGGGAACU
Molecule: ribosomal RNA, 423 nt
Filed under: uncultured bacterium
Lineage: Bacteria
Description: bacterial SSU rRNA
Rfam family: Bacterial small subunit ribosomal RNA
Source: RNAcentral